Molecule: ribosomal RNA, 1489 nt
Filed under: uncultured Bordetella sp.
Lineage: Bacteria; Pseudomonadati; Pseudomonadota; Betaproteobacteria; Burkholderiales; Alcaligenaceae
Description: partial 16S-23S ribosomal RNA intergenic spacer
Rfam family: Bacterial small subunit ribosomal RNA
Source: RNAcentral
GGUUCGAUCAUGGCUCAGAUUGAACGCUGGCGGGAUGCUUUUAUACAUGCAAGUCGAACGGCAGCAGCGGACGGCUCAGUGGCGAGUGGCGAACGGGUGAGUAAUGUAUCGGAACGUGCCUAGUAGCGGGGAUAACUACGCGAAAGCGUAGCUAAUACCGCAUAACGGCCCUUCGGGAAAGCGGGGACCUUCGGGCCUCGCACUAUUAGAGCGGCCGAUAUCGGAUUAGCUAGUUGGUGGGGUAACGGCUCACCGGCGACGAUCCGUAGCUGGUUUGAGAGGACGACCAGCCACACUGGGACCGAGACAUCGCUCCAGACUCCACGGAGGCAGCAGUGGGGAAUUUUUGGACAGUCGGGGAAACCCUGAUCCAGCCAUCCCGCGUGUGCGAUGAAGGCCUUCGGGUUGUAAAGCACUUUUGGCAGGAAAGAAACGGCACGGGGAUAAUACCCCGUGCAACUGACGGUACCUGCAGAAUAAGCACCGGCUAACUACGUGCCAGCAGCCGCGGUAAUACGUAGGGUGCAAGCGUUAAUCGGAAUUACUGGGCGUAAAGCGGUGCAGGCGGUUCGGAAAGAAAGAUGUGGAAAUCCCAGAGCUUAACUUUGGAACUGCAUUUUUAACUACCGAGCUAGAGUGUGUCAGAGGGAGGUGGAAUUCCGCGUGUAGCAGUGAAAUGCGUAGAUAUGCGGAGGAACACCGAUGGCGAAGGCAGCCUUCCUGGGAUAACACUGACGCUCAUGCACGAAAGCGUGGGGAGCAAACAGGAUUAGAUACCCUGGUAGUCCACGCCCUAAACGAUGUCAACUAGCUGUUGGGGCCUUCGGGCUCUCGGUAGCGCAGCUAACGCGUGAAGUUGACCGCCUGGGGAGUACGGUCGCAAGAUUAAAACUCAAAGGAAUUGACGGGGACCCGCACAAGCGGUGGAUGAUGUGGAUUAAUUCGAUGCAACGCGAAAACCUUACCUACCCUUGACAUGUCUGGAAUCCCGAAGAGAUUUGGGAGUGCUCGCAAGAGAACCGGAACACAGGUGCUGCAUGGCUGUCGUCAGCUCGUGUCGUGAGAUGUUGGGUUAAGUCCCGCAACGAGCGCAACCCUUAGUCAUUAGUUGCUGCAAGGAAAGGGCACCUAAUGAGACUGUCGGUGACAAACCGGAGGAAGGGUGGGGAUGACGUCAAGUCCUCAUGGCCCUUAUGGGUAGGGCUUUCACACGUCAUACAAUGGUCGGGACAGGGUCGCCAACCCGCGAGGGGGAGCCAAUCCCAGAAACCCGAUCGUGAAGUCCGGAUCGCAGUCUGCAACUCGACUGCGCAAGUCGGAAUCGCUAGUAAUCGUGGAUCAGCAUGUCGCGGUGAAUACGUUCCCGGGUCUUGUACACACCGCCCGUCACACCAUGGGAGUGGGUUUUACCAGAAGUAGUUAGCCUAACCGUAAGGAGGGCGAUUACCACGGUAGGAUUCAUGACUGGGGUGAAGUCGUAACAAGGUAG